CAAGCGUGCUCCUGGAGCUGAAGAAGAGGAGGGGAGUAGGGGCAGUUAGAAGGGUGGCCGAAGGGAAAUGAUGAGAAUGGAGGGGGAGAUAAAACUGAACACUACCAUUUUGGCUCUGUUCAACUUUCGUGGAAGCUGUGGUGGCAAACGUAAGAAAAUCAGGUUCAUUGGUGUUUGCAUAUAGCGAGGGCGGGGCGGAGCAAAAACGUAGAAAAGGCCUAUCAGAAGGCUUUCUUUCGUGCGGUUCCUCGUUAGUAUAGUGGUGAGUAUCCCCGCCUGUCACGCGGGAGACCGGGGUUCGAUUCCCCGACGGGGAGGCACGACUACAGUCCAUGCCAUCAC
Molecule: transfer RNA, 342 nt
Filed under: Homo sapiens (human)
Lineage: Eukaryota; Metazoa; Chordata; Mammalia; Primates; Hominidae
Description: HSALNT0369940
Rfam family: tRNA (bases 246-317)
Source: RNAcentral